Molecule: long non-coding RNA, 676 nt
Filed under: Coffea arabica (coffee)
Lineage: Eukaryota; Viridiplantae; Streptophyta; Magnoliopsida; Gentianales; Rubiaceae
Description: long non-coding RNA (CARA_LNC000575)
Source: RNAcentral
UUGUAAGUCUAGCAUCUAAGCUCCUUCCAUGGGUAAUUGAUCCGUGGUUUCUUUCUUAACUAUAAUGCAAAUGUCCGAAUGGUGAUGAACUAAACAACAUUAUUGCUACUAAUUUUCUUUGAAAACAACCUGCAUACCAGAAAAAUUCACUAAUUUCACUAAGAUAAAUUCCCUAAAUUCGCCAUUAUCCUACUCAGUACUGCUGCCAGAAAAACUUACGGCUACCCAACUUUCAAAGUUUCCCCAACAAAUAGACAACAACAGGUGAGAACUAGCAAAAGCCCAAGGUGAUUUAUCUGCAAUUAAAGAAGGGGGUCUUUUGCACAAUCGUAACCGUCAAAAUUCAUAACAGGGAGCCCCCCAGAAAUGUAGAUUAUCAUCAAGGGUUCUAACUUUCCAAUAACUCUUCCCAGAAACGCAAAUUUUUAUCGGAUGGGCAGAAACAAAUCUUCCUCUGCAGCAUAAGUCCGCACAGUAAUCCUCCACCACCACCCUCAUUUUUUAGUUCCUUGAGUUUUCCGGCCACCUCCGUUCUGACUCCGUUCCAUGCUUUCAAAACAUUGGACGCCGUCGACGAAGACAACGUCGUCGAUUUAGCACCAUCCGACGACAAGUCCAACAACGAGAAGUCAAAGUCACAAGAUUCUCCACCGCAUGACUGCAUGCUCCUACUCGA